AAGGCAGUUGCCUAGUUCAGAUAAGCAUAAGAUGAUGUUACUAAUAUGUCAAUAAAGAUGGAACUGGAAGGUUAAAAUACAUAUUAUUUAUUGACAUAUUAGUAACAUCAUCUUAUACUUUUCUGAACUAGGCAACUGCCUA
Molecule: non-coding RNA, 142 nt
Organism: Pelobates cultripes (western spadefoot toad)
Lineage: Eukaryota; Metazoa; Chordata; Amphibia; Anura; Pelobatidae
Source: the annotation of a GenBank genome assembly